RNAcentral lists this ribosomal RNA (266 nucleotides) under uncultured bacterium. RNAcentral's name for it is "partial 16S ribosomal RNA". It matches the Rfam family "Bacterial small subunit ribosomal RNA", at positions 793 to 1055 of the family's 1533-position model. The record is from RNAcentral.
GUCCUGGCAGUAAACGGUGCGCGUUUGGUGUGGGAGGAUUCGACCCCUUCUGUGCCGGAGCUAACGCGUUAAACGCGCCGCCUGGGGAGUACGGUCGCAAGAUUAAAACUCAAAGAAAUUGACGGGGCCCGCACAAGCGGUGGAGUAUGUGGCUUAAUUCGAUGCAACGCGAAGAACCUUACCUGGGCUUGACAUGUAUCUCUAAGUCGGUGAAAGCCGGCGAGUGUAGCAAUACACAAUUUACACAGGUGCUGCAUGGCUGUCGU